Molecule: ribosomal RNA, 497 nt
Filed under: uncultured bacterium
Lineage: Bacteria
Description: partial 16S ribosomal RNA
Rfam family: Bacterial small subunit ribosomal RNA
Source: RNAcentral
GAUGAACGCUGGCGGCGUGCCUAAUACAUGCAAGUCGAGCGGACGGACGAGAAGCUUGCUUCUCUGAUGUUAGCGGCGGACGGGUGAGUAACACGUGGAUAGCCUACCUAUAAGACUGGGAUAACUUCGGGAAACCGGAGCUAAUACCGGAUAAUAUUUUGAACCGCAUGGUUCAAAAGUGAAAGACGGUCUUGCUGUCACUUAUAGAUGGAUCCGCGCUGCAUUAGCUAGUUGGUAAGGUAACGGCUUACCAAGGCAACGAUGCAUAGCCGACCUGAGAGGGUGAUCGGCCACACUGGAACUGAGACACGGUCCAGACUCCUACGGGAGGCAGCAGUAGGGAAUCUUCCGCAAUGGGCGAAAGCCUGACGGAGCAACGCCGCGUGAGUGAUGAAGGUCUUCGGAUCGUAAAACUCUGUUAUUAGGGAAGAACAUAUGUGUAAGUAACUGUGCACAUCUUGACGGUACCUAAUCAGAAAGCCACGGCUAACUACGUG